Molecule: long non-coding RNA, 1356 nt
Organism: Leucoraja erinaceus (little skate)
Lineage: Eukaryota; Metazoa; Chordata; Chondrichthyes; Rajiformes; Rajidae
Exons: 3
Source: RefSeq, a predicted model, not a curated record
GGGGGAAUUUAAUGGGACAGAAAGUGAGGGAAGUUCAGGAAGUUCACUCUCGGAGGAUCGAGUAUUGCCAGCCAGCGCCGUCUCUAAAGCUGGAGUAAUUAUAGAGUCAAUGCCUUUCAGAUUCCAACCGCACUUGGGUGAAAAGAUCCAUUCCUUGGAUCCCCACUAAACACCAUUUAAUUACUGAAUGUGUCUGCAACUCCAAAACAGACUGAUGCUUCCUCCCAAAGGAAGACUAUUCUUUCGACACAGAUUAUCUCUGGUUUGAUUCCUGCCAUGGCUGAAAAGAUUCAAACGUUCCCAGGCCUUCUAUCUGCGAUCACCUUUCUGCUUCUGCAUGGAUGACCUCCAAUGCUUAACGUGUCUAGAUGUCAAAUUAACACAAUACUCAACAUGUAAUCUGAUCGUACAAUUUGAUAUUUGAUGAUAAAUUCCUGAGACAUGGAUUCAAUGUCAACAUUUCAAAAAUACUCAGUAUCUCUGUUUCUUUCUACUGAGAUGGAUAAACCUCACCACUUUAGGAAUAAACUGCAGGGUCUGGUUUACACCGAAGAUGGACACAAAAUGCUGGAGUAUCUCAGCGGGGACAGGCAGCAUAUCUGGAUAGAAGGAAUGUGUAACGUUUCGGCUCGAGACCCUUCUUCAGACGCGUCCCGAAAUGUCAUCCAUUACUUCUCUCCAGUGAUGCUGCCUGUCCCGCUGAGUUAGUCCGUCAUUUUGUGCCUGUCUUCUUGAUAAACAUUUUCCUCCAUCUGCCACGAUCAGUGUGUAGAAGGGUCCUGACCCAAAAGGUAAUCUAUCCAUGUUCUCUAGAGAUGUGCCUGAUCCACUGAGUUACUCCAGCACUUUUUGUCCUUCUGUUACUCAACUGGAUCCCCGUUAAGCCUCUUUAUGUCCUCAUUUCUGCUCACAUUCCCACUUAAUCUCAUGUCAUGAAACAAACAUAGAAACGUUACUUUUUGUCCCCUUGGCCAGAGAGUCGAUACAGCUUGCGAAUAGUUGGCACCAGCAUAGUUGGCACCAUUCCUUCGCUCCAUAGAUGCUGCCUCACCCGCUGAGUUUCUCCAGCAUUUUUGUCUACAUCUUCAUCCUCCUCUCUGCAGUUAAACACAUUCUUAUAUGUUUCUCUAUCUUCAACAGAUGUGGGAGUUGACUGUUUCCUGUUUUCUGACAGCUGGAAGCAAGACCCACCCUAAUACUGUGAAUACUAUGACAAUACGUAAACCCACUUACUGCUGAAGAAAAUAUAUAAAGUGCUGGGUAACUCAUUGAAUCAGGCAGCAUCUCUGGAGAACAUGGAUAGUUGACGUUUUGGGUCGGGACCCUUCUUCCGACUGGUUGUAUUAAUGGGGGGGG